AUGUCAGAGUGCACCACAGUCAAGUUCAUGGUGAAGUUUCUUGUUGUGGCAAGUGGUGAUAAUAGUGCAAAGAAUAUUCCAAUGUUCCCUGGACUGGAAAACUUUCCAGGUGAUGUUAUUCACUCCUCAAGCUACAAGUCAGGCAAGAGCUACUCUGGCAAGAAUGUAUUGGUCAUUGGAUCUGGCAACUCCGGGAUGGAAAUUGCUUAUGAACUUGCGACCCAUGGUGCCAACACAUCGAUUGUUAUACGAAGCCCGAUUCAUGUAAUGACAAAGGAAUUAAUUCGUUUGGGGAUGACACUUGCUCACCGUCUUCCAUUGAAUCUAGUGGAUAAACUCCUUGUGAUGGUAGCGUAUUUAAUAUUUGGAGACUUGUCACAACAUGGCAUCACAAGGCCAAAAAUGGGUCCAAUGACCCUCAAAUCAGAAACAGGCCGAUCUGCAGUAAUUGAUGUUGGGACUGUUGGAUUGAUCAAAAAAGGCUUCAUCAAAGUUCAAGGGAGCAUUAGUAAGAUCAAGUGCAACAUAGUUAAAUUUCAAUGCAGUAAAAGAAUGUCAUUUGAUGCAAUUGUGUUUGCAACUGGAUACAAAAGCACGGCAAAUAUGUGGCUCAAGAAUGGUGAGAGCAUGUUAAAUGGCAACGGACUGCCCAUCCAAAAAUAUCCGAAUCAUUGGAAAGGUGAAAAUGGGCUCUACUGUGCUGGGUUGGCGAGGAGAGGAUUAGCUGGUAUUGCAACAGAUGCCAAGAAUAUCGCUAAUGACAUC
RNAcentral lists this ribosomal RNA (765 nucleotides) under Triticum aestivum (bread wheat). Its description in RNAcentral is "partial small subunit ribosomal RNA". The record is from RNAcentral. Lineage: Eukaryota; Viridiplantae; Streptophyta; Magnoliopsida; Poales; Poaceae.